CCGACGCAGGGGCAUCUAUCGGCCCGGCAGCUGCGAGGUCGAGGACCACAGGGAAGAAGCGAGGGCGACGUGGCUUUAGGAGAGGCUGUACUGGGAGAGGGCCCUGAGUGCAUCCUGAGAUUGACGGGCUGGAGGAAAAGUUGUCUCAGUGUCGGAAGGACCUGGAGGCCGUGACCUCCCAGCUCCACAGGGCAGAGCUGAGUCCUGAGGACCGGAGGUCUCUGGAGAAGGAGAAAAACGCCCUCAUGAACAAAGCCUCGAAAUAUGAGAAGGAGCUAAAGCUGCUUCGACAAGAGAACCAGAAGAACAUGCUACUCUCGGUGGCCAUCUUCAUAGUCUUC
RNAcentral lists this long non-coding RNA (341 nucleotides) under Rattus norvegicus (Norway rat). Its description in RNAcentral is "long non-coding RNA NONRATT017634". Lineage: Eukaryota; Metazoa; Chordata; Mammalia; Rodentia; Muridae. The record is from RNAcentral.